UUGUUUUCUUUUUUUUCUUCUUCUUGCUGCAGCAACAACACGCACACCAUGCCUUCUAAUUCUUCUCAUCACCAAUUUCUUCUUCAUUUUUCCUUGUUGCAACAAACGACCCACGCACCAUAGUCAUUCAUCACCAUGCCAAUUUUCUCAUCACCCUUCAAGCACCAAACCCGCGAGCACAAAGGGAGAGAGGGAGAAGAAGUUUUUUCGCCGUUUCUUGCCUGAUCGUCUCACUGACAAUUUCUACGCGCAGACCUCGAGGUUCGUUUGUGGAAACCUUAGACUUGACUGAGCAAGCUUGGGAGUGUGACUUACACUGUGAUUCUGGAAGAACUAGAGAUGUCGUUGACGGAUCGUUUUGUGAUGCUUCGUCGUUCGGGGAAGACCCGGAGCGAAAUGACUACUACUGAGCCUUCGACGUGGACCCGGACUUCAUGCAGGAUCGAAUGAGGGUCGAUGUUAGGGGUGUAGUAUAUAGGGUUUCGUUGUCAUAGCUCUGAUUUUCAUUUCUUAUUUUGGGGCAGGGUAGGUCCCCGACUAUUAGCUUUUUGUGUGGUUCUCUUCCAUGAGGAUCACAGGGAGUUUGUCGGACGUAGGAGGUCUUUUGGAAGCCACUAUGGGCUAACUUACUUUUUGGAGGACUGUAUUUAUAAAACUUAUGACUCUAUCUAUGGGUCGCACUUGUUUGCCGUUGGGCAAUACUUUUAGUUACUAGGUGUUACUUUCCGUCACUCGAUGACACUCGUGACGAUGAUUUUGGUUGCAGCGAGGGCUGUGCUUUUAUUGUUUGUUAGUCGUUGUUAA
Long non-coding RNA from Lotus japonicus, 804 nucleotides. RefSeq lists it as uncharacterized. The record is from RefSeq and is a predicted model, not a curated record. Lineage: Eukaryota; Viridiplantae; Streptophyta; Magnoliopsida; Fabales; Fabaceae. The transcript is spliced from 3 exons.